This 1673-nucleotide unclassified non-coding RNA is filed under the name Hevea brasiliensis (rubber tree). Lineage: Eukaryota; Viridiplantae; Streptophyta; Magnoliopsida; Malpighiales; Euphorbiaceae. The record is from RNAcentral.
AAGACAAAGCUAAGGAGACACUGAAAUGGUGUAGUUUUAAGGUACAUGGGAGUUUGAGGAGGAUUUGCAAUAAACAAAUGCAAUACAAUGGGACCAGAGUCACCAGACUUUAUUCUUUAUGAGAUUUUAGACACUCAUAUCCAAAUAUCAGAAGUGCAGUCACCACCAGGAUACCUCAUUUCAUGAGCCAAAGAUGGACCAUCAGGUUCAGCUCCGAAAUCAACGAAAAAUCUUGGGUUAAUAGCAAGUCCACCUUUCUCACUGUCAACGUCGAUUUGUAACAUGUGACCUCCUUUCUCUAUCAUUUCGGGGUAGAAUUGACGGUCCCAUGUACUGAACAAUGAGUUUGUGACAUACAAACGUUUUCCGUCUAGACUCAGUUGUAUCAUCUGAGGCCCUCCUCUCAACCGAUGUCCCUGGACUUCUGGGACAUCAACCUGGUAUGUGGAACCAUCUUCAGCCUCAGCGAGUACAGCGUUUCCUUUUUGAAAUACUCCUCCAACAAAUACUUGGCCAGUUAACUUAGGAUUGGCAGGGUCCUCAAUAUUGUACUGUCGAAUGUCACCAUGUAGCCAGUUUGCCAGGUAUAGAAAACGAUCAUCGAGAGAGAUCAGAAAAUCAGUAAUAAGACCAGGCAUUUCAGGAAGAAUCCAGUUCUGCACUUUCACUGGUUUUACUGAGAUAGCUACCUCAUGUCCCCACGAGUCAUCUGGAUUCUUGAAAAAUCGCACCAUGUUACUGGUCAAAGCACAGCCCACAUACCCAAUUGCUUCAGAUGGAUUAUGCAAGAACCUUAUCUCUAGAGGAAGGAGCCCAGUGUUCCCAAGAUCCAAUGUCUGUUUAAGUUCACCACCGGGCCAUGUGUAGACAUGCAAAUGUCGACCAUAAUGCCCAUCAGCAACAUCCUGCAGGUUGAAACCUUUGGUGAAAGCAGAUGGAGCUCCCCAGGUGGAACUGAUCAUGGUGUUGUGUCGAGGCUGGUACCAGAAGUCAUAGCCAAAGAGGGGACCAUGACCUGGUUUCUCCCAUCUUCCUUUCACGUUGAAAUCUGAAUCGAGAAGAAGAAAUCCAUUCCCCUCAGCAUUUCCAUCUUUAUCUCCGAGACAUGACAACAUUAUCUCACCAGAAGCAAGGCAGUGAGCAGUGUGCGGGAAUGCUAAUCCUGUCUUCUUGACGACAUCAUCUGGCUGAACAACUUUAUACAAACUGGGAGCCUUUGGAUCCUUUUGUGUGUCAACUGCAUAAAUGCGUCCUGAUAUUAGUGAAGGCAGGACGAGAUAUCGUCGAGCAGCUGAUGGAUCUCCAUAACAAGAACUGCAGGAAUUCCAUCCAGAAUGAUGAAGUUCAUCACCCUCAUAAGGCAUAGGCAGCCUGUGGAUCACUUUUGAAUAAGAUGGUGAAUUAGGAUCUACAUCUACUGUAGCCAGAUAGUCGGGUUUGCCCCUUCCCAUUCCAGUAUAUAUGCAGGUGACAUAAAUUAAAGAUUCUUUAGGACCAUCCAUGGCUGCAAGUGGAGAAGCAUAACCAGGUCCUUUUUUGCAACACCCAUUAACCACCGCCACCGUCUCCUUCCCGUUCUGCUGCACCUCCAUAUCCGUCGCCAUUUUCUCGCCGGAAAAUCUGAAAUUUCAGAUCAGAAAUAGGCAAAAUAGUACUAAAAAAAACACCCUUUU